AAUCUUGGUCAAUGGGGGAAACCCCGAUCCAGCCAUCCCGCGAGCAUGAUGAAGGCAUUCGGGUUGUAAAGUACUUUUGGCAGAGAAGUAAAGGCAUCUCCUAAUACGAGAUACUGCUGUCGGUCUCUGCAGAAUAAGCACCGGCUAACUACGUUCCAGCAGCCGUGGUAAUACGUAGGGUGCAAGCGUUAAUCGGAAUUACUGGGCGUAAAGCGUGUGUAGGCGGUUCGGAAAGAAAGAUGUGAAAUCCCAGGGCUCAACCUUGGAACUGCAUUUUUAACUGCCAAGCUAGAGUAUGUCAGAGGGGAGUAGAAUUCCACGUGUAGCAGUGAAAUGCGUAGAUAUGUGGAGGAAUACCGAUGGCGAAGGCAGCCCCCUGGGAUAAUACUGACGCUCAGACACGAAAGCGUGGGGAGCAAACAGG
Molecule: ribosomal RNA, 424 nt
Filed under: uncultured bacterium
Lineage: Bacteria
Description: partial 16S ribosomal RNA
Rfam family: Bacterial small subunit ribosomal RNA
Source: RNAcentral